UUUCUGGACUGUGUACA
RNAcentral lists this unclassified non-coding RNA (17 nucleotides) under Mus musculus (house mouse). RNAcentral describes it as "oocyte_clustered_small_RNA11928". Lineage: Eukaryota; Metazoa; Chordata; Mammalia; Rodentia; Muridae. The record is from RNAcentral.